AUUGAACGCUGGCGGCAUGCCUUACACAUGCAAGUCGAACGGCAGCACGGGAGCUUGCUCCUGGUGGCGAGUGGCGAACGGGUGAGUAAUGCAUCGGAACGUACCCGGAAGUGGGGGAUAACGUAGCGAAAGUUACGCUAAUACCGCAUAUUCUGUGAGCAGGAAAGAGGGGGAUCGCAAGACCUCUCGCUUUCGGAGCGGCCGAUGUCGGAUUAGCUAGUUGGUGGGGGAAAGGCCUACCAAGGCGACGAUCCGUAGCGGGGCUGAGAGGAGCAUCCGCCACUCUGGAACUGAGACACGGUCCAGACUCCUACGGGAGGCUGCAGUGGGGAAUUUUGGACAAUGGGCGAAAGCCUGAUCCAGCCAUGCCGCGUGAGUGAAGAAGGCCUUCGGGUUGUAAAGCUCUUUCGGCUGAAAAGAAAUCGCACAGGCUAAUACCCUGUGUGGAUGACGGUAUCAGCAUAAGAAGCACCGGCUAACUACGUGCCAGCCGCCGCAGUAA
This 502-nucleotide ribosomal RNA is filed under the name uncultured bacterium. RNAcentral's name for it is "partial 16S ribosomal RNA". It matches the Rfam family "Bacterial small subunit ribosomal RNA", at positions 30 to 523 of the family's 1533-position model. The record is from RNAcentral.